GAUGAACGCUGACGGCGUGCCUAAUACAUGCAAGUCGAGCGAACGGACGAGAAGCUUGCUUCUCUGAUGUUAGCGGCGGACGGGUGAGUAACACGUGGAUAACCUACCUAUAAGACUGGGAUAACUUCGGGAAACCGGAGCUAAUACCGGAUAAUAUUUUGAACCGCAUGGUUCAAAAGUGAAAGACGGUCUUGCUGUCACUUAUAGAUGGAUCCGCGCUGCAUUAGCUAGUUGGUAAGGUAACGGCUUACCAAGGCAACGAUGCAUAGCCGACCUGAGAGGGUGAUCGGCCACACUGGAACUGAGACACGGUCCAGAGUCCUACGGGAGGCAGCAGUAGGGAAUCGGACGCAAUGGGCGAAAGCCUGACGGAGCAACGCCGCGUGAGUGAUGAAGGUCUUCGGAUCGUAAAACUCUGUUAUUAGGGAAGAACAUAUGUGUAAGUAACUGUGCACAGCGUGACGGUACCUGAUCAGAAAGCCACGGCUAACUACGUG
This 497-nucleotide ribosomal RNA is filed under the name uncultured bacterium. RNAcentral describes it as "partial 16S ribosomal RNA". It matches the Rfam family "Bacterial small subunit ribosomal RNA", at positions 28 to 507 of the family's 1533-position model. The record is from RNAcentral.